CCUACCAACAUCAUCUCCUGCAGCACCUGGCUUUCUCUUGAGGCCUCCCAUCCAACGCCUGACCCCACUCAACUUGUGAAUGCUGACAAGUUCACACUCAGAGGUUACAGAGUUGGCUGCAGUUCCAGACUAACCCACUCUGAUGGGACACUCCACUAUCCACCCAGCAGGUAUCACCACGCCAAACAAGGAAUCUCACUGGAAUAUGGGAGUCUCAUACAGGGGCAGGCUCCCGGAUGCAAAGAAGGCACAUCCUUGAGGGAAGAAUGCAUUGCUGUUCUCAGGUUUGCCUAACUUUCUGAGCUCCAAUUGAGGGCUGAGUCAGCCCUGGGGGCAAACUGCCAUAUCAUUGUCAGACACAAAUAUUCCCAGCUGAA
Long non-coding RNA from Trachemys scripta elegans, 377 nucleotides. RefSeq lists it as uncharacterized. The transcript is spliced from 3 exons. Lineage: Eukaryota; Metazoa; Chordata; Testudines; Emydidae. The record is from RefSeq and is a predicted model, not a curated record.